Molecule: long non-coding RNA, 1341 nt
Organism: Nematostella vectensis (starlet sea anemone)
Lineage: Eukaryota; Metazoa; Cnidaria; Anthozoa; Actiniaria; Edwardsiidae
Exons: 2
Source: RefSeq, a predicted model, not a curated record
GAAAGGAAUUGACUUUCCAAGGUAUGAUAAAGGGAUGUGACUUACCAAGGUAUGGGAAAGGUGUGUGACUUACCAAGGUAUAAGAAAGGGAUGUGACUUACCAAGGUAUGGGAAAGGGAUGUGACUUACCAAGGUAUGAGAAAGGGAUCUGUUUUUCCAAGGUAUGGGAAAGGGUUGUGACUUAUCAAGGUAUGGGAAAGGGAUGUGACUUACCAAGGUAUGGGAAAGGGAUGUGACUUACCAAGGCAUGGGAAAGGGAUGUGACUUAUUAAGGUAUGGGAAAGGGAUGUGACUUACCAAGGUAGGGAAAAGGGAUGUGACUUACCAAGAGAUGGGAAAGGGAUUGGAAAGGGAUGAGAUUUACCAAGGUAUGGGAAAGGGAUGUGACUUAUCAAGGUAUGGGAAAGGGAUGUGACUUACCUUACCAAGGUAUGGGAAAGGGAUGUGACUUACCUUACCAAGGUAUGGGAAAGGGAUGUGACUUACCAUGCGAAGGUAUGAGAAAGGGAUGUGACUUACCAAGGUUUGGGAAAGGGAUGUGACUUACCAUGGUAUGGAAAAGGAAUGUCACUUACCAAGGUAUGGGAAAGGGAUGUGACUUACCAAGGUAUGGGAAAGGGAUGUGACUUACCAAGGUAUGGGAAAGGGAUGUGACUUACCAAGGUAUUGGAAAGGGAUGUAACUUACCAAGGUAUGAGAAAGGGAUCUGUUUUACUAAGGUAUGGGAAAGGGAUGUGACGUACCUUACCAAGGUAUGGGAAAGUGGUGUUACUUACCAAGAUAUGGGAAAGGGAUGUGACUUACCAAGGUAUGAAAAAGGGAUGUGACUUACCUUACCAAGGUAUGUGAAAGGGAUGUAACUUACCAUGCGAAGGUAUGGGGAAGGGAUGUGACUUACCAAGGUAUGGGAAAGGGAUGUGACUUACCAAGGUAUGGUAAAGGGAUGUGACUUACCAAGGUAUGAGUAAGGGAUCUGUUUUUCCAAGGUAUGGGAAAGGGAUGUGACUUACCAAGGUAUGGGAAAGGGAUGUGACUUACCAAGGUAUGAGAAAGGGAUGUGACUUACCAAGGUAUGGGAAAGGGAUGUGACUUACCAAGAGAUGGGAGAGGGAUUGGAAAGGGAUGUGACUUACCAAGGUAUUGAAAAGGGAUGUUACUUACCGUAUCAAGGUAUGGGAAGGGAGGUGACUUACCAAGGUAUGGGAAAGGGAUGAGACUUUCCAAGGUAUGGGAAAGGGAUGUGACUUACCAAGGUAUAAGAAAGGGAUGUUACUUACCGUAUCAAGGUAUGGGAAAGGGAGGUGACAUACCAAGGUAUGGGAAAGGGAUGAGACUUACCAA